CUUUUGGCAAGCUCCUGGACUUCUCGGAUUUGUUCCUGCAGAACCUUCGACGACCGUCCGGACUUCCGUCGAGCUCUCGAACUCCCAACGUGAUCAUAGUAUUUGACUCCGGCUCAACUCCUGCUGCAUGUCUUACUUUCAUCGUAGUUAAUCUUGCACACUUAUCUCAACAUAUGAAUUAGAUAACAAAUGAUAAUUGACUUCAUCAUCAAAAUCCGAGCUACAACAGUUGUUUCAUAUGAAACCAAACGAGACUAUUGGAGACAUGCACAC
Molecule: long non-coding RNA, 273 nt
Filed under: Musa acuminata (dwarf banana)
Lineage: Eukaryota; Viridiplantae; Streptophyta; Magnoliopsida; Zingiberales; Musaceae
Description: long non-coding RNA (MACU_LNC010095)
Source: RNAcentral